Molecule: ribosomal RNA, 810 nt
Filed under: uncultured bacterium
Lineage: Bacteria
Description: bacterial SSU rRNA
Rfam family: Bacterial small subunit ribosomal RNA
Source: RNAcentral
AGAGUUUGAUCCUGGCUCAGGACAAACGCUGGCGGCGUGCAUAACACAUGCAAGUCUAACGGGAAAGUCGGCUUCGGCUGGCAAGUACCGUGGCGAACAGGUGAGUAACACGUGGGUAAUCUAACCUCGAGUUUGGGAUAACUUUGUGAAAGCGGGGCUAAUACCGAAUAAGACCACGCUCUGUCCGCAGAGUGCGGUAAAAGGCGGCCUCUUCUUGAAAGCUGUCACUUGAGGAUGAGCCCGCGGCCUAUUAGCUAGUUGGUGGGGUAAAUGCUCCCCAAGGCGACGAUCAGUAGCUGGUCUGAGAGGAUGAUCAGCCACACUGGGACUGAGACACGGCCCAGACUCCUACGGGAGGCAGCAGUGGGGAAUUUUGGACAAUGGGCGCAAGCCUGAUCCAGCCAUGCCGCGUGCGGGAAGAAGGCCUUCGGGUUGUAAACCGCUUUCGGCCGGAACGAAAUCGCCCGGGUGAACAUCCCGGGUGCAUGACGGUACCUCCUUAGCAAGCACCGGCUAACUUCGUGCCAGCAGCCGCGGUAAUACGGAGGGUGCAAGCGUUGUUCGGAAUUAUUGGGCGUAAAGGGCGCGUAGGCGGUAAUGCAAGUCAGAUGUGAAAUACUCCGGCUCAACUGGGGAACUGCAUCUGAAACUGCAUAACUAGAGUACAGAAGAGGGAAACGGAAUUCCCGGUGUAGAGGUGAAAUUCGUAGAUAUCGGGAGGAACACCAGUGGCGAAGGCGGUUUCCUGGUCUGAUACUGACGCUGAGGCGCGAAAGUGUGGGGAGCAAACAGGAUUAGAUACCCUGGUAG